GACGAACGCUGGCGGCGUGCUUAACACAUGCAAGUCGAACGGAAAGGCCCUGCUUUUGUGGGGUGCUCGAGUGGCGAACGGGUGAGUAACACGUGAGUAACCUGCCCUUGACUUUCGGCUAUCUUCAGGAAACUGGGGCUAAUACCGGAUAGGAGCUCCUGCUGCAUGGUGGGGGUUGGCAAGUUUCGGCGGUUGGGGAUAGACUCGCGGCAUAUCAGCUUGGUGGGGGGGUAGUGGCUUACCAAGGCUUGGACGGGUAGCCGGCCUGGGAGGGUGGACGGACACAUUAGGACGGAGAUACGGCCCAGACUCCUACGGGAGGCAGCAGUGGAGAAGAGUGCACAGUGGGCGGAAGCCAGAUGCGGCGACGCCGCGUGCGGGAUAACGGCCUUCGUGUUGUAAACCGCUUUCGCCUGAGACGGAGCGUUAGUGACGGUAAUGGGUAAAGAAGCACCGGCUAACUACGUG
RNAcentral lists this ribosomal RNA (468 nucleotides) under uncultured bacterium. RNAcentral describes it as "partial 16S ribosomal RNA". It matches the Rfam family "Bacterial small subunit ribosomal RNA", at positions 28 to 507 of the family's 1533-position model. The record is from RNAcentral.